AGAGUUUGAUCCUGGCUCAGAUUGAACGCUGGCGGCAUGCCUAACACAUGCAAGUCGAACGGUAACGACGGGAGCUUGCUCCCGGGCGACGAGUGGCGGACGGGUGAGUAAUACUUAGGAAUCUGCCCAGUAGUGGGGGACAACUCGAGGAAACUCGAGCUAAUACCGCAUACGCCCUACGGGGGAAAGCGGAGGAUCUUUCGGGACUUCGCGCUAUUGGAUGAGCCUAAGUCGGAUUAGCUUGUUGGUGGGGUAAAGGCCUACCAAGGCGACGAUCUGUAGCUGGUCUGAGAGGACGAUCAGCCACACUGGGACUGAGACACGGCCCAGACUCCUACGGGAGGCAGCAGUGGGGAAUAUUGGACAAUGGGGGCAACCCUGAUCCAGCAAUGCCGCGUGUGUGAAGAAGGCCUGCGGGUUGUAAAGCACUUUCAGUAGAGAAGAAAUGCCCAUGGUUAAUACCCGUGGGUCUUGACGUAACCUACAGAAGAAGCACCGGCUAACUCCGUGCCAGCAGCCGCGGUAAUACGGAGGGUGCGAGCGUUAAUCGGAAUUACUGGGCGUAAAGCGCGCGUAGGCGGUUUGGUCAGUCGGAUGUGAAAGCCCCAGGCUCAACCUGGGAAUGGCAUUCGAUACUGCCUGACUAGAGUAUGGUAGAGGGAAGUGGAAUUUCCGGUGUAGCGGUGAAAUGCGUAGAUAUCGGAAGGAACACCAGUGGCGAAGGCGACUUCCUGGGCCAAUACUGACGCUGA
Molecule: ribosomal RNA, 752 nt
Filed under: uncultured bacterium
Lineage: Bacteria
Description: bacterial SSU rRNA
Rfam family: Bacterial small subunit ribosomal RNA
Source: RNAcentral